This 350-nucleotide transfer-messenger RNA is filed under the name Streptococcus infantarius subsp. infantarius ATCC BAA-102. It matches the Rfam family "transfer-messenger RNA". Rfam says of the family: Bacterial tmRNA, also known as 10Sa RNA or SsrA, is named for its dual tRNA and mRNA-like properties. The record is from RNAcentral. Lineage: Bacteria; Bacillati; Bacillota; Bacilli; Lactobacillales; Streptococcaceae.
GGGGUCGUUACGGAUUCGACAGGCACUAUGAGAUACAUUCUGCGACUCAUCGGCAGAUGUAAAAAUGCCAGUUAAAUAUAACUGCAAAAAAUACAAAUUCUUACGCUGUAGCUGCCUAAAAACCAGCUCGCGUGAUCUCUACAGGAUUGCUUGUGUUUUGCUAGAGGUUUCAUUGAUUAGCAAGCUACGUUUGAUUAUUGCCUAGCUAGUCAAAAAGAGAUUUAUAGGCUCGCUUAAUCUAGGUUUGAGUUAUGUAUCGAGCUUAAGUUAAAUCAAAGACAUAACCUAUGGUUGUAGACGAAUGUAUUGGCAGGUGUUUGGACGUGGGUUCGACUCCCACCGGCUCCAUA